RNAcentral lists this ribosomal RNA (706 nucleotides) under Pseudomonas mosselii. RNAcentral's name for it is "bacterial SSU rRNA". It matches the Rfam family "Bacterial small subunit ribosomal RNA", at positions 62 to 762 of the family's 1533-position model. Lineage: Bacteria; Pseudomonadati; Pseudomonadota; Gammaproteobacteria; Pseudomonadales; Pseudomonadaceae. The record is from RNAcentral.
UCGAGCGGAUGACGGGAGCUUGCUCCUUGAUUCAGCGGCGGACGGGUGAGUAAUGCCUAGGAAUCUGCCUGGUAGUGGGGGACAACGUUUCUGAAAGGAACGCUAAUACCGCAUACGUCCUACGGGAGAAAGCAGGGGACCUUCGGGCCUUGCGCUAUCAGAUGAGCCUAGGUCGGAUUAGCUAGUUGGUGAGGUAAUGGCUCACCAAGGCGACGAUCCGUAACUGGUCUGAGAGGAUGAUCAGUCACACUGGAACUGAGACACGUUCCAGACUAAUACGGGAGGCAGCAGUGGGGAAUAUUGGACAAUGGGCGAAAGCCUGAUCCAGCCAUGCCGCGUGUGUGAAGAAGGUCUUCGGAUUGUAAAGCACUUUAAGUUGGGAGGAAGGGCAGUAAGUUAAUACCUUGCUGUUUUGACGUUACCGACAGAAUAAGCACCGGCUAACUCUGUGCCAGCAGCCGCGGUAAUACAGAGGGUGCAAGCGUUAAUCGGAAUUACUGGGCGUAAAGCGCGCGUAGGUGGUUCGUUAAGUUGGAUGUGAAAGCCCCGGGCUCAACCUGGGAACUGCAUCCAAAACUGGCGAGCUAGAGUAUGGUAGAGGGUGGUGGAAUUUCCUGUGUAGCGGUGAAAUGCGUAGAUAUAGGAAGGAACACCAGUGGCGAAGGCGACCACCUGGACUGAUACUGACACUGAGGUGCGAAAGCGU